AUGGCGAGCGGCAGCGGCAGCGGCGAGGGGAAGGCGGGCAGGGCGGGCGCGGGGUACCAGCAGUACGGCACCGGCUACGACGAGCGCCAGUGGUGGCCGUGGCUCGUGCCCACCGUGCUCGGCGCCUGCGUCUCGGUCUUCGCCGUCGAGAUGUACCUCAACGACUGCCCCCGCCACGGGAGCCCCCUCGGCGGCGACGCGCGCUGCGUCGCCGGCUUCCUCCGCCAGUUCUCCUUCCAGCCGCUGCGCGAGAACCCGCUCCUCGGCCCCUCUUCGGCCACUUUGGAGAAGAUGGGAGCUCUUGACUGGGCCAAAGUUGUUCAUCAACACCAAUGGUGGCGCCUAUUCAGCUGUAUCUGGCUCCAUGCUGGCCUAAUUCACUUGAUUGUCAACAUGAUGAGCUUGCUAUUCAUAGGAAUCCGCCUUGAACAGCAAUUUGGCUUUGUCCGCAUUGGGAUCAUCUACCUGCUAUCUGGCUUUGGUGGAAGUGUGCUAUCUGCACUGUUCUUACGUAAUCACUACAUAUCUGUCGGUGCCUCUGGAGCUUUGUUUGGUCUACUUGGCUGUAUGCUCUCUGAGCUUAUUAUGAACUGGACCAUUUAUUCCAACAAGGCAGCAGCCAUCACAACUCUUCUGUUCAUAAUUGCAAUCAAUCUGGCGAUCGGGAUACUACCGCAUGCUGAUAAUUUUGCGCAUAUUGGUGGGUUCGUAUCCGGGUUCCUUUUCGGGUUUGUGCUGCUGGCAAGGCCUCAAUUUGGUUGGAUGGAACGGCAUGAGCUGCCCCAGACCGAUCAACCCCCAAAGUACAAGACGUACCAGUAUGUUCUGUGGGGCGCGGCACUGCUCUUGCUGCUGGUUGGGUAUGUGGUCGGCAUGGCGAUGCUCUUCAAGGGAAAGAACGGCAACGACGGCUGCCACUGGUGCCGGUACCUCAACUGCGUGCCCUCGUCCAGGUGGAAGUGCAGCACUUAG
RNAcentral lists this ribosomal RNA (972 nucleotides) under Triticum aestivum (bread wheat). RNAcentral's name for it is "partial small subunit ribosomal RNA". Lineage: Eukaryota; Viridiplantae; Streptophyta; Magnoliopsida; Poales; Poaceae. The record is from RNAcentral.